GACGAACGCUGGCGGCGUGCUUAACACAUGCAAGUCGAACGGAAAGGCCCUGCUUUUGUGGGGUGCUCGAGUGGCGAACGGGUGAGUAACACGUGAGUAACCUGCCCUUGACUUUGGGAUAACUUCAGGAAACUGGGGCUAAUACCGGAUAGGAGCUCCUGCUGCAUGGUGGGGGUUGGAAAGUUUCGGCGGUUGGGGAUGGACUCGCGGCUUAUCAGCUUGUUGGUGGGGUAGUGGCUUACCAAGGCGUUGACGGGUAGCCGGCCUGAGAGGGUGACCGGCCACAUUGGGACUGAGAUACGGGCAAGACUCCUACGGGAGGCAGCAGUGGGGAAUAUUGCACAAUGGGCGGAAGGCUGAUGCAGCAACGCCGCGUGCGGGAUGACGGACUUCGGGUUGUAAACCGCUUUCGCCUGUGACGAAGCGUGAGUGACGGUAAUGGGUAAAGAAGCACCGGCUAACUACGUG
RNAcentral lists this ribosomal RNA (468 nucleotides) under uncultured bacterium. Its description in RNAcentral is "partial 16S ribosomal RNA". It matches the Rfam family "Bacterial small subunit ribosomal RNA", at positions 28 to 507 of the family's 1533-position model. The record is from RNAcentral.